GUCAUUAUCACCUUGACACUAGGAAUCGGAAUUCCUAUAUAGCAGGAAGAGAGAUUAGAUUUAAAAAUAAAAGUUAAAUAACAUUUUAUAUUUUCGGCUUUCACAGAAGAUUCCCAAAACACUUUUCAAGGAUUCCUCAUGCCUUAAUCUCAGAGCCAGCUUUUCUUGAUACAUCCAUGUUGGACUGGCUUCAUGAAGAGUGACCUGUGCUUCUGUUUUCUCCGAGUUUGUUAACCAAGAUAACCUUUAUUUGGGGAAACAGGUAAACACUAACACAUUCCUCCCCUCCUCCUGCCCCCCUGGUUUAA
RNAcentral lists this long non-coding RNA (308 nucleotides) under Mustela putorius furo (domestic ferret). RNAcentral describes it as "lncRNA (ENSMPUG00000026238.1)". The record is from RNAcentral. Lineage: Eukaryota; Metazoa; Chordata; Mammalia; Carnivora; Mustelidae.